CGUACGCUGGCGGCAGGCCUACACAUGCAAGUCGAGCGGAUGAAGGGAGCUUGCUCCUGGAUUCAGCGGCGGACGGGUGAGUAAUGCCUAGGAAUCUGCCUGGUAGUGGGGGAUAACGUCCGGAAACGGGCGCUAAUACCGCAUACGUCCUGAGGGAGAAAGUGGGGGAUCUUCGGACCUCACGCUAUCAGAUGAGCCUAGGUCGGAUUAGCUAGUUGGUGGGGUAAAGGCCUACCAAGGCGACGAUCCGUAACUGGUCUGAGAGGAUGAUCAGUCACACUGGAACUGAGACACGGUCCAGACUCCUACGGGAGGCAGCAGUGGGGAAUAUUGGACAAUGGGCGAAAGCCUGAUCCAGCCAUGCCGCGUGUGUGAAGAAGGUCUUCGGAUUGUAAAGCACUUUAAGUUGGGAGGAAGGGCAGUAAGUUAAUACCUUGCUGUUUUGACGUUACCAACAGAAUAAGCACCGGCUAACUUCGUGCAGCC
RNAcentral lists this ribosomal RNA (486 nucleotides) under Pseudomonas aeruginosa. RNAcentral's name for it is "bacterial SSU rRNA". It matches the Rfam family "Bacterial small subunit ribosomal RNA", at positions 30 to 516 of the family's 1533-position model. Lineage: Bacteria; Pseudomonadati; Pseudomonadota; Gammaproteobacteria; Pseudomonadales; Pseudomonadaceae. The record is from RNAcentral.